This is a non-coding RNA of Schistosoma curassoni, 45 nucleotides long. The record is from Rfam. Lineage: Eukaryota; Metazoa; Platyhelminthes; Trematoda; Strigeidida; Schistosomatidae.
AUCCAGCUGACUAGUCCCAAACAGGACGAAACGCGCGUCCUGGAU